GCUGGAUGUGGUGACACACAUCUGUAAUCCCAGCAGCUCAGGAGGCUGAGGCAGGAGGAUCACAAGUUCAAAGUCAGUCUCAGCAAUUUAGCGAGGCCCCAAGCAACUUAGUGAGGCCCUGUCUCAA
RNAcentral lists this small RNA (127 nucleotides) under Marmota monax (woodchuck). Lineage: Eukaryota; Metazoa; Chordata; Mammalia; Rodentia; Sciuridae. The record is from RNAcentral.